This 253-nucleotide ribosomal RNA is filed under the name uncultured bacterium. Its description in RNAcentral is "partial 16S ribosomal RNA". It matches the Rfam family "Bacterial small subunit ribosomal RNA", at positions 524 to 776 of the family's 1533-position model. The record is from RNAcentral.
UACGUAGGGCGCAAGCGUUGUCCGGAAUUAUUGGGCGUAAAGAGCUCGUAGGCGGCCAGUUGCGUCCGCUGUGAAAUCCCGGGGCUUAACCCCGGGCGUGCAGUGGAUACGGGCUGGCUAGAGGCAGGCAGGGGAGAACGGAAUUCCCGGUGUAGCGGUGAAAUGCGCAGAUAUCGGGAGGAACACCGGUGGCGAAGGCGGUUCUCUGGGCCUUACCUGACGCUGAGGAGCGAAAGCGUGGGGAGCGAACAGG